This 253-nucleotide ribosomal RNA is filed under the name uncultured bacterium. RNAcentral describes it as "partial 16S ribosomal RNA". It matches the Rfam family "Bacterial small subunit ribosomal RNA", at positions 524 to 776 of the family's 1533-position model. The record is from RNAcentral.
UACGGAGGGUGCAAGCGUGAUCCGGAUUCACUGGGUUUAAAGGGUGCGUAGGUGGGCAGGUAAGUCAGUGGUGAAAUCUCCGGGCUUAACUCGGAAACUGCCAUUGAUACUAUCUUUCUUGAAUACCGUGGAGGUCAGCGGAAUAUGUCAUGUAGCGGUGAAAUGCUUAGAUAUGACAUAGAACACCAAUUGCGAAGGCAGCUUACUACACAGUUAUUGACACUGAGGCACGAAAGCGUGGGGAUCAAACAGG